Molecule: long non-coding RNA, 1006 nt
Filed under: Calidris pugnax (ruff)
Lineage: Eukaryota; Metazoa; Chordata; Aves; Charadriiformes; Scolopacidae
Description: lncRNA (ENSCPUG00000013276.1)
Source: RNAcentral
GUGGUAACUUGGUGUCAUGAUGUCUUGGUUGCUGGGUGCAGAUCAACAAGCUGACAGUGAAAGGGGAUCCCAGAGGAUCGAAGAGGAUCUGCCUCUGCCAUUUGCAGCUGCUUUGCUGCCCAGACCUCCUCGAGAGACCCCGGCCAUCUCCCAAACCAGCCUUUCUGACCUUCUCUGUCUCGUCAGGAGCAGUGACCAGGCAUCAAAACGACGCCCAGCCUGCCUGAAGCAAUCUUCUCCCUGAAAUAAGAAUCCUUCACCCAGUGGACAAGAGAAAGCUUUGGUAAGAGGAAUUAAAUUGUAUACUGCUGAAAAUGGAGUUUGAAUCUUUUUUUGCUCAAACUUUCCUGUAGAUGUUCUCCCCCAGUGAUGUGGGUCUGCUGCUACACCUCUGUACAAGGGGAGCAGCUAAGAUGCAGGACUGUGUCCUCAGCUCAGACCAGGGGAGAAGCUGUGCAGGCACCAGACUCUGUUUGACGCUUGGCUUCUUGCUUUGAGGCAAAGAUGUACCAAUGGGUGGGUCUAACCUUGGAACAAAAGAGAGGCAUGUCCAGAAGGAGACUCUAUAAAGAUCUCCCAAAGUCCUGGUAAAGGAGGAGCCCGAGCUUAACAAGCCAGAAAGAACAGAACUGCUGAGACAGUAAAACCUCUGGUAUGAAUCAGCCUCUCAGUGUCUUCUCUGUCCCAGCAGACUGAAUUGUGGGGACAGGUCAGGAACCUUCUAGCCUGGAUAAACUUGUCUUUCCCAGGCCUAUCUAGGCUAUAAAUCCACAGGUUUUUGGUUUUUUUGGACGGACGUGCUAGAGCAUACGUGGGGCUACUGACAGCUGGGACUCUGGGUUUAUCAUCUGUGGCUGAAGCUUCCGCAUUGCUGGGUUAAUGACUCACGGGUGCUUACGUGUGGCCUACGCUCCUCUGAGAGCUGCAGUGCACUGGAUCUGCCCAGGCCUGUCCCAAGGUACUGAAUCAGCAGAACCCCUAAAUAACCUGGUGUUCUCAGCCUCAA